UCGACGGCCCGGACUAUGGCGGGGAGUGGCAGACUGCUCAGUAACACGUAGCUAACCUACCCUCGGGACGGGGAUAACCCCGGGAAACUGGGGCUAAUACCCGAUAGGUAUGGAUUCCUGGAAUGGUGCCAUGCCUAAACGUAAGCACAUCCAUGUUUGUGUGCACGCCCGAGGAUGGGGCUGCGGCCGAUCAGGCAGUUGGUGAGGUAACGGCUCACCAAACCUUUGACCGGUACGGGCCAUGAGAGUGGUAGCCCGGAGAUGGGCACUGAGACAAGGGCCCAGGCCCUACGGGGCGCAGCAGGCGCGAAACCUCCACAAUUCACGCAAGUGAGAUGGGGUUACCUCGAGUGCCAUCUGAAGAAGGUGGCUUUUCCAUGGUGUAAUGAGCCGUGGGAAUAAGGGGGGGGCAAGACUGGUGUCAGCCGCCGCGGUAACACCAGCCCCCCGAGUGGUGGGGAUGAUUAUUUGGCCUAAAGCGUCCGUAGCCAGCUCGGUAAAUCUCUCGUUAAAUCCAGCGUCCUAAGCGUUGGGCUGCGAGGGAAACUGCCGAACUAGAGGGUGGGAGAGGUCAGCGGUAUUCCUGGGGUAGGGGCGAAAUCCAUUGAUCCCAGGAGGACCACCAGUGGCGAAGGCUGCUGACUAGAACACGCCUGACGGUGAGGGACGAAAGCUGGGGUAGCGAAUCGGAUUAGAUACCCGAGUAGUCCCAGCCGUAAACGAUGCAGGCUAGGUGUU
This 738-nucleotide ribosomal RNA is filed under the name uncultured archaeon. RNAcentral describes it as "bacterial SSU rRNA". It matches the Rfam family "Archaeal small subunit ribosomal RNA", at positions 58 to 775 of the family's 1478-position model. The record is from RNAcentral.